CUCGUAGGCGGCCAACUAAGUCGGACGUGAAAUCCCUCGGCUUAACCGGGGAACUGCGUCCGAUACUGGAUGGCUAGAGUGUGGGAGAGGGAUGCGGAAUUCCAGGUGUAGCGGUGAAAUGCGUAGAUAUCUGGAGGAACACCGGUGGCGAAGGCGGCAUCCUGGACCACGACUGACGCUGAGGAGCGAAAGCCAGGGGAGCAAACG
This 207-nucleotide ribosomal RNA is filed under the name uncultured bacterium. RNAcentral's name for it is "partial 16S ribosomal RNA". It matches the Rfam family "Bacterial small subunit ribosomal RNA", at positions 568 to 774 of the family's 1533-position model. The record is from RNAcentral.